CCUACGGGCGGCAGCAGUGGGGAAUAUUGGACAAUGGGGGGAACCCUGAUCCAGCCAUGCCGCGUGUGUGAAGAAGGCCCUCGGGUUGUAAAGCACUUUCAGUGAGGAAGAACGCCUGGUGGUUAAUACCCAUCAGGAAAGACAUCACUCACAGAAGAAGCACCGGCUAACUCCGUGCCAGCAGCCGCGGUAAUACGGAGGGUGCGAGCGUUAAUCGGAAUUACUGGGCGUAAAGCGCGCGUAGGUGGCUUGAUAAGCCGGUUGUGAAAGCCCCGGGCUCAACCUGGGAACGGCAUCCGGAACUGUCAAGCUAGAGUGCAGGAGAGGAAGGUAGAAUUCCCGGUGUAGCGGUGAAAUGCGUAGAGAUCGGGAGGAAUAUCAGUGGCGAAGGCGGCCUUCUGGACUGACACUGACACUGAGGUGCGAAAGCGUGGGUAGCAAACAGGAUUAGAUACCCCGGUAGUC
This 465-nucleotide ribosomal RNA is filed under the name Vreelandella stevensii. RNAcentral's name for it is "partial 16S ribosomal RNA". It matches the Rfam family "Bacterial small subunit ribosomal RNA", at positions 338 to 795 of the family's 1533-position model. The record is from RNAcentral. Lineage: Bacteria; Pseudomonadati; Pseudomonadota; Gammaproteobacteria; Oceanospirillales; Halomonadaceae.